This 492-nucleotide ribosomal RNA is filed under the name uncultured bacterium. RNAcentral's name for it is "partial 16S ribosomal RNA". It matches the Rfam family "Bacterial small subunit ribosomal RNA", at positions 29 to 507 of the family's 1533-position model. The record is from RNAcentral.
AGUGAACGCUGGCGGCAGGCCUAACACAUGCAAGUCGAACGGCAGCACAGUAAGAGCUUGCUCUUACGGGUGGCGAGUGGCGGACGGGUGAGGAAUACAUCGGAAUCUACUUUUUCGUGGGGGAUAACGUAGGGAAACUUACGCUAAUACCGCAUACGACCUACGGGUGAAAGCAGGGGAUCUUCGGACCUUGCGCGAUUGAAUGAGCCGAUGUCGGAUUAGCUAGUUGGCGGGGUAAAGGCCCACCAAGGCGACGAUCCGUAGCUGGUCUGAGAGGAUGAUCAGCCACACUGGAACUGAGACACGGUCCAGACUCCUACGGGAGGCAGCAGUGGGGAAUAUUGGACAAUGGGCGCAAGCCUGAUCCAGCCAUACCGCGUGGGUGAAGAAGGCCUUCGGGUUGUAAAGCCCUUUUGUUGGGAAAGAAAAGCAGCAGGUUAAUACCCCGCUGUUCUGACGGUACCCAAAGAAUAAGCAUCGGCUAACUUCGUG